GAUAAACGCUGGCGGCGUGCCUAAUGCAUGCAAGUCGCACGGGGGUGUCCCUUCGGGGGCGAUCGAGUGGCGAACGGGUGAGGAACGCGUGGACAACCUACCCCGGCGUGGGGGAGUACCCGCCAGAAAUGCGGCGUAAUACCGCGUACGGUCCAUGGGCGGAGGGCUCGUGGAAGAAAGCAGCGAUGCGCGCUGGGAGGGGUCUGCGGCCGAUUAGCUUGUUGGCGGGGUGACGGCCCACCAAGGCGAUGAUCGGUAGCUGGUCUGAGAGGAUGAUCAGCCACACGGGGACUGAGACACGGCCCCGACUCCUACGGGAGGGCAGCAGCAAGGAAAGUUUUCCGUCAAUGGGGGCGAACCCUGACGGAGCAACGCCGCGUGACGGA
This 386-nucleotide ribosomal RNA is filed under the name uncultured bacterium. RNAcentral describes it as "bacterial SSU rRNA". It matches the Rfam family "Bacterial small subunit ribosomal RNA", at positions 28 to 408 of the family's 1533-position model. The record is from RNAcentral.